RNAcentral lists this long non-coding RNA (2892 nucleotides) under Hordeum vulgare. RNAcentral's name for it is "long non-coding RNA (HVUL_LNC005448)". Lineage: Eukaryota; Viridiplantae; Streptophyta; Magnoliopsida; Poales; Poaceae. The record is from RNAcentral.
UUGCUUUAUUGCUUUGAUCUGAAUCUGGUUGAUCUGAUUGAUCUGUUCGCCGAGCAAGUUUCCGAUCAGACAAUAGCUCACGUACGUACGUACGCAAUACAUAAACCACAGCGACCCAUGUACUAGACUCAGAAGAAUCGAUCAAGCUGCCUGCUUGGUUGCUUAUUCGGCCAGCUACGUGUGUCUUGCUAAGGUGAUCUGUUCCAAGCGUUUCAAAACCAACAAUUGGUAUCUAGAGCCUCGACGAUUUACGAUCUACGAUGACAGACAGCGAUGCUGAGUCGGUCAAGUCCGGAAAGGGCGGUGCCAAGGCGAACAAGAACGGCGAUAAGGUGAAGAAGGGCGUCAAGUCAGCAACCAGUGGUGGAGGAACGAGCGGCGCCAACGUCCAGGCGCAUCGCAACAUCCCCAUCCAGUACCCGAUGCUCAUCGAUGCCAACUACGGCGUGUGGGCGGUGAAGAUGAAGAUUAUUCUUCGAUCCCUUCGAAUGUGGGAGGCCAUCACGUACGACGACGUCGACGAAGAGCGCGACGAAGGUGCCAUGGCCGCCAUAUCUCAGUCUGUGCCGGAUUCCGUGCUAAUGACAUUGGCGGAGUUCGAGACGGCAAGAGAGGCGUGGAACGCACUCAAGGAGAUGAGGAUCGGAGAAGAUCGCGUCACCAAGGCUCGGGCACAAGUGCUGAAGCGCCAAUUUCACAAGUUGCAGAUGGAGGAAACUGAAUCGGUGAACGACUAUGCCAUGCGUCUUACUACUUUGGUGGGAGAGAUCCGCGCGCUUGGUGCAAAGCUCGAUGAGACCGAGAUUGUGGAGAAAUUUUUCAGUUCGGUGACUGAUAAAUUCACGUACAUCAUCGGCACACUCGAGCAGCUUUACGACAUCGACGACAUGACCAUAACGGAGGCGAUCGGACGCUUGCGGACAUGAGAAGAGAAUGCUCGUGGCUGUCGGAAAGGCAAAGGAGGAGGUAGGGACCAACUCAUGUACUCGCGCGCAGAUUGGGAGGCCCCAAGUAGCAAAGGAAGGCGUGACGGUGGCAAAGGCUCAAGCAACACGAAGGGCGAUGGACAAACCGAAAAAGGCAAAGGAAAAGGCAAACCACAAGGUCGUGGUAAGGCGGGCCAAUCUAAAGAGCAGAAACCACGGAACUUGGACUUGUCCGAGGUCAAGUGCUAUAACUGCAAUAAGAUGGGUCAUUUUGCGAAGGAUUGUCCAAAGCCUAAUAAGCGGGAGAUCAAGGCAAAUUUGGCAAAGCAGGAAGAUGAAGGUCCAGGUCUUCUGAUGGCCGAAGUUUGUGAUCUCGCUGAAACGGUGGUUGUGAAACCAAGCCGGGAGGUGCUACUUCAUGAGGAAAAAGUGACACCAAAGUUAUCCGGUGAUCAGAACGUGUCGUGGUAUCUCGACACGGGUGCCAGUAACCUGACGGGGUGCAAGGGGAAAUUCCUCGAGCUGGAAUACGAUGUUGAAGGCUCGGUCAAGUUCGGUGAUGGUUCAGCUGUGGAGAUUUGCGGGCAAGGAUCUGUCCUAUUUGAGGGUCUCACAGGCGAACAUCGCAUACUCACCGAAGUGUACUACAUCCCACAGCUUCGCAACAACAUCAUCUCUAUUGGGAAGCUUGACAAGAAUGGAUGCAAGGUGAAUAUCGAGAGCGGAGUGAUGACGAUCUUCGACAACCUCCGAAACGUGCUAGCUCGUGUUAAUCGCACACGGAAUAGGCUCUAUAUCCUCAACCUUGAUCAAUCUCAACCGGAGUGUUGGCUUGCCAAGAGUGAUGAUGAUUCGUGGUUAUGGCAUGCUAGAUUUGGACACGCUAACUUCUACGCCUUGAAGAAGAUGUCAAAGAUGGAGAUGGUAUCCGGGAUGCCAGUUAUCGACCAUGUUGAUCGAGUAUGUGACGGGUGCUUGGUUGGAAAACAGCACCGCAGGCCAUUCCCUGCUCAGUCUACCUAUCGUGCAAGUGAUGCACUCGAGCUGCUCCAUGGUGAUCUAUGUGGCCCUAUCACCCCGACAACUCACGCUGGAAAGAAGUAUUUCUUCCUUGUGGUAGACGACUACUCGAGAUAUAUGUGGGUCAUUCUCCUACGAUCUAAAGAUGAGGCGUUUGAAGCGUUCAAGAAGCUGAGGGCUACAACGGAGCUGGAACACAAGUUGAAGGUUCGCGCUCUACGAACAGAUCGCGGCGGAGAGUUUACGUCGAAUGAGUUCAAUGACUAAUGCGAGAAGAUUGGCAUAAAAAGGUUUCUCACGGCACCUUACACGCCACGGUAGAACGGGGUCGUUGAAAGGCGCAAUCGAACCGUCGUUGACAUGGCAAGGAGUUUACUCAAGAGCAAGAACCUGCCGGGGACUUUUUGGGGAGAAGCUGUCUCGAGGGCGGUCUAUCUUCUCAACCGGGCUCUAACGAAGGCGGUGGUCGGCAAGACUCCGUAUGAAGCAAUUUACGGACGUAAACCGAAUGUGUUUCAUCUACGGACGUUCGGGUGUGUGAUACAUGUGAAGACGGCGGAGCUGCAACUCUCAAAGCAAGUUUAGACGCAUCGAAUAAAACCAGUUUCACUCCUGAUUGAUCCGUUCGCCGAGCAAGUUUUCGAUCAGACAAUAGCUCACGUACGUACCGUACGUACGCAAUACACAAACCACAGCCACCCAUGUACUAGACUCAGAAGAAUCGAUCAAGCUGCCUGCUUGGUUGCUUAUUCGGCCAGCUACGUGUGUCUUGCUAAGGUGAUCUGUUCCAAGCGUUUCAAAACCAACAUAUCCCAUACCUUCUUGCUCCAAUGACAGUUUUCUCCUUUUCUGCCUCUGCCUCCAAACAAAGAUCCCGGCAAAUGCUGCCAAUCCUAAAACUGCUAGACCAACUAUAACUCCUGCAAUCACACCUGCUUUACUACCA